UACGAAGGGGGCUAGCGUUGCUCGGAAUUACUGGGCGUAAAGCGCACGUAGGCGGAUUGUUAAGUCGGGGGUGAAAUCCUGGAGCUCAACUCCGGAACUGCCUUCGAUACUGACGAUCUUGAGUCCGGGAGAGGUGAGUGGAACUGCGAGUGUAGAGGUGAAAUUCGUAGAUAUUCGCAAGAACACCAGUGGCGAAGGCGGCUCACUGGCCCGGUACUGACGCUGAGGGGCGAAAGCGUGGGGAGCAAACAGG
This 253-nucleotide ribosomal RNA is filed under the name uncultured bacterium. RNAcentral describes it as "partial 16S ribosomal RNA". It matches the Rfam family "Bacterial small subunit ribosomal RNA", at positions 524 to 776 of the family's 1533-position model. The record is from RNAcentral.